Molecule: non-coding RNA, 74 nt
Organism: Podarcis lilfordi (Lilford's wall lizard)
Lineage: Eukaryota; Metazoa; Chordata; Lepidosauria; Squamata; Lacertidae
Source: the annotation of a GenBank genome assembly
UUCUACAGCUCAGUUGGUAGAGCAUGAAAGUAUUAAUUUCAGGGUCAUGGGUUUGAGUCUCACGUUGGGCAAAA